AUUAACGCUGGCGGCAGGCCUAACACAUGCAAGUCGAGCGGCAGCGGAAAGUAGCUUGCUUCUUUGCCGGCGAGCGGCGGACGGGUGAGUAAUGUCUGGGAAAUUGCCUGAUGGAGGGGGGAUAACUACUGGAAACGGUAGCUAAUACCGCAUGACCUCGAAAGAGCAAAGUGGGGGAUCUUCGGACCUCACGCCAUCGGAUGUGCCCAGAUGGGAUUAGCUAGUAGGUGAGGUAAUGGCUCACCUAGGCGACGAUCCCUAGCUGGUCUGAGAGGAUGACCAGCCACACUGGAACUGAGACACGGUCCAGACUCCUACGGGAGGCAGCAGUGGGGAAUAUUGCACAAUGGGCGCAAGCCUGAUGCAGCCAUGCCGCGUGUGUGAAGAAGGCCUUAGGGUUGUAAAGCACUUUCAGCGAGGAGGAAGGCAUCAUACUUAAUACGUGUGGUGAUUGACGUUACUCGCAGAAGAAGCACCGGCUAACUCCGUGCCAGCAGCCGCGGUAAUACGGAGGGUGCAAGCGUUAAUCGGAAUUACUGGGCGUAAAGCGCACGCAGGCGGUUUGUUAAGUCAGAUGUGAAAUCCCCGCGCUUAACGUGGGAACUGCAUUUGAAACUGGCAAGCUAGAGUCUUGUAGAGGGGGGUAGAAUUCCAGGUGUAGCGGUGAAAUGCGUAGAGAUCUGGAGGAAUACCGGUGGCGAAGGCGGCCCCCUGGACAAAGACUGACGCUCAGGUGCGAAAGCGUGGGGAGCAAACAGG
RNAcentral lists this ribosomal RNA (759 nucleotides) under uncultured Enterobacteriaceae bacterium. RNAcentral describes it as "bacterial SSU rRNA". It matches the Rfam family "Bacterial small subunit ribosomal RNA", at positions 28 to 776 of the family's 1533-position model. The record is from RNAcentral. Lineage: Bacteria; Pseudomonadati; Pseudomonadota; Gammaproteobacteria; Enterobacterales; Enterobacteriaceae.